This is a non-coding RNA of Zootermopsis nevadensis, 347 nucleotides long. The record is from RefSeq and is a predicted model, not a curated record. NCBI's taxonomy places the organism in Eukaryota, Metazoa, Arthropoda, Insecta, Blattodea, Termopsidae.
UAUAAUAAUAAUGAUACUAAGCGUACAUUGUAAAGAAAUAUAUAGCACUAAAAAUUAAAUAUAAAAAAUAUAUAAAUAUGAAUGAAAUAAAAAUAAUGAAAUCAUUAAAAAAUAUUUAUUUUACUAGUGCGAUAUUUGUUUCUCCACUCUUUCACUUAGCUUUUGCAAAUCGAUCUCAAUUUGGGUAUUUGCACAUCGUAAUUGGUGUUGCAGGUUAGCGUCCAUUAUGUUUGAGCGUGUUUUGUGUUUGGUCAAUUUCAUUUUCGAAAAAAACGAUUCGCAGGUGUAAGUUGAACCAAAAGCGCUAACAACUUUUUGUGCCAGAUUUCUCAAAUUGGAAAAUUUCU